GAAGGUGGCGAGCGUUGUUCGGAAUUAUUGGGCUUAAAGAGCACGUAGGCGGAACAGAAAGUGUCUUGUGAAAACCCCCCGGCUUAACCGGGUAAUUGCUUGGCAAACUCCUGUUCUUGAGUCAAGUAGGGGUACAUGGAACUCUUAGUGGAGCGGUGGAAUGCGUAGAUAUUAAGAGGAACGCCAAUGGUGAAGACAGUGUACUGGGCUUGUACUGACGCUGAGGUGCGAAAGCGUGGGGAGCGAACGGGAUUAGAUACCCCGGGUAGUCCACGCCGUAAACGAUGUCUACUAGGUUGUGGGUGUUCUGACACAGUCACAGCCGAAGCAAAAGUGUUAAGUAGACCGCCUGGGGAGUACGGUGCAAGGCUA
RNAcentral lists this ribosomal RNA (372 nucleotides) under uncultured organism. RNAcentral describes it as "partial 16S ribosomal RNA". It matches the Rfam family "Bacterial small subunit ribosomal RNA", at positions 527 to 896 of the family's 1533-position model. The record is from RNAcentral.